Molecule: transfer RNA, 19 nt
Filed under: Bungarus candidus
Lineage: Eukaryota; Metazoa; Chordata; Lepidosauria; Squamata; Elapidae
Description: partial transfer RNA-Ser
Source: RNAcentral
GAGAGGGUUAUAAGACCUG